Xenopus tropicalis (tropical clawed frog) is the source of this 269-nucleotide non-coding RNA. The record is from Ensembl. Lineage: Eukaryota; Metazoa; Chordata; Amphibia; Anura; Pipidae.
GGUCAGUGAUGAAUUGUAAAAGGUCUGACUGCCUUAAAGUUCUCCCAUGUCCAUAUUAUCUCCCAGCAGCCUCUCUGUUUUUCCAUCUGGCUCCAGUUGUGCUUUGAUUGGUUACUUAAGCUGCUGACAGGUUUUGAUACUGAAUCCUGCAUUUCCAAAAGAAUGGGAAAGUGCAGCAAGCAGUAUUGUACAUGAUUACGUAAUACAGGAGAGCAGGGAUGAGGGUAGAACUCUGUGCAGUGCAUGAUAAUAAGCUAUAUACUGAGACC